CUGAUCGGCCACAUUGGGACUGAGACACGGCCCAAAUUCCUACGGGAGGCUGCAGUAGGGAAUCUUCCACAAUGGGCGAAAGCCUGAUGGAGCAACGCCGCGUGUGUGAUGAAGGCUUUCGGGUCGUAAAGCACUGUUGUAUGGGAAGAACAGCUAGAGUAGGGAAUGACUUUAGUUUGACGGUACCAUACCAGAAAGGGACGGCUAAAUACGUGCCAGCAGCCGCGGUAAUACGUAUGUCCCGAGCGUUAUCCGGAUUUAUUGGGCGUAAAGCGAGCGCAGACGGUUAAUUAAGUCUGAUGUGAAAGCCCGGAGCUCAACUCCGGAAAGGCAUUGGAAACUGGUUAACUUGAGUGCAGUAGAGGUAAGUGGAACUCCAUGUGUAGCGGUGGAAUGCGUAGAUAUAUGGAAGAACACCAGCGGCGAAGGCGGCUUACUGGACUGUAACUGACGUUGAGGCUCGAAAGUGUGGGUAGCAAACAGGAUUAGAUACCCUGGUAGUCCACACCGUAAACGAUGAACACUAGGUGUUAGGAGGUUUCCGCCUCUUAGUGCCGAAGCUAACGCAUUAAGUGUUCCGCCUGGGGAGUACGACCGCAAGGUUGAAACUCAAAGGAAUUGACGGGGACCCGCACAAGCGGUGGAGCAUGUGGUUUAAUUCGAAGCAACGCGAAGAACCUUACCAGGUCUUGACAUCCUUUGAAGCUUUUAGAGAUAGAAGUGUUCUCUUCGGAGACAAAGUGACAGGUGGUGCAUGGUCGUCGUCAGCUCGUGUCGUGAGAUGUUGGGUUAAGUCCCGCAACGAGCGCAACCCUUAUUGUUAGUUGCCAGCAUUCAGAUGGGCACUCUAGCGAGACUGCCGGUGACAAACCGGAGGAAGGCGGGGACGACGUCAGAUCAUCAUGCCCCUUAUGACCUGGGCUACACACGUGCUACAAUGGCGUAUACAACGAGUUGCCAACCUGUGAAGGUGAGCUAAUCUCUUAAAGUACGUCUCAGUUCGGACUGCAGUCUGCAACUCGACUGCACGAAGUCGGAAUCGCUAGUAAUCGCGGAUCAGCACGCCGCGGUGAAUACGUUCCCGGGUCUUGUACACACCGCCCGUCACACCAUGGGAGUUUGUAAUGCCCAAAGCCGGUGGCCUAACCGUAAGGAGGGAACCGUC
This 1165-nucleotide ribosomal RNA is filed under the name Leuconostoc gasicomitatum. Its description in RNAcentral is "bacterial SSU rRNA". It matches the Rfam family "Bacterial small subunit ribosomal RNA", at positions 300 to 1457 of the family's 1533-position model. Lineage: Bacteria; Bacillati; Bacillota; Bacilli; Lactobacillales; Lactobacillaceae. The record is from RNAcentral.